RNAcentral lists this long non-coding RNA (407 nucleotides) under Salmo salar (Atlantic salmon). RNAcentral describes it as "lncRNA (ENSSSAG00000090182.1)". The record is from RNAcentral. Lineage: Eukaryota; Metazoa; Chordata; Actinopteri; Salmoniformes; Salmonidae.
CAAAUCUCCACAGGGCAGAUUGAGAGAUAUAUUCUAGGGAAGGGUGCUAUGGCGAGAAGCACACGGGCAUGUGGAGCUGGCACUCCACGUCAUGGCCAAUUAACCCGCCAGUUGGCCUAAUGCGCUCCCGGGAGUCCGGCUGUAGAAGGAUGGUACUAGGAAAGGCUCCACUAAGUGUUAUCUCUGUAGCAGGAUGGUUACUAGGAAAGGCUCCGCUAAGUGUUAUCUGUAGCAGGAUGGUACUAGGAAAGGCUCCGCUAAGUGUUAUCUCUGUAGCAGGAUGGUUACUAGGAAAGGCUCCGCUAAGUGUUAUCUCUGUAGAAGGAUGGUUACUAGGAAAGGCUCCACUAAGUGUUAUCUCUGUAGCAGGAUGGUUACUAGGAAAGGCUCCGCUAAGUGUUAUCUCU